CAGUCGCCGCGGUAAUACGUAGGGUGCGAGCGUUAAUCGGAAUUACUGGGCGUAAAGCGUGCGCAGGCGGUUUUGUAAGACAGAUGUGAAAUCCCCGGGCUCAACCUGGGAACUGCAUUUGUGACUGUAGAGCUGGAGUGCGGCAGAGGGGGAUGGAAUUCCGCGUGUAGCAGUGAAAUGCGUAGAUAUGCGGAGGAACACCGAUGGCGAAGGCAAUCCCCUGGGCCUGCACUGACGCUCAUGCACGAAAGCGUGGGGAGCAAACAGGAUUAGAUACCCCCGUAGUCCCUGUCUCUUAUAC
RNAcentral lists this ribosomal RNA (301 nucleotides) under uncultured bacterium. RNAcentral describes it as "partial 16S ribosomal RNA". It matches the Rfam family "Bacterial small subunit ribosomal RNA", at positions 509 to 807 of the family's 1533-position model. The record is from RNAcentral.